Pelobates cultripes (western spadefoot toad) is the source of this 5555-nucleotide non-coding RNA. The record is from the annotation of a GenBank genome assembly. NCBI's taxonomy places the organism in Eukaryota, Metazoa, Chordata, Amphibia, Anura, Pelobatidae.
UUUUUUUUUUAUUUUCCCUUUAGCAUUAUGAGUGUGUUUGGUUUUAUAGUAGGUAAACUGAGAAUGAAGCUCUGUUUUGCAGUGGUUUGAUUGGCUAUAUCACACUCUUUGUUUCUUGUCCGUUGCAGAAAUCCUCUUCCCCGACACUACACCGUUUACUAGCAGAAUCUCGUCAGAUGGUUGCUGAUCUUGAGCUUAGCAUGGUGCUGCCAGCCCCUUAUAACAGCCCCAGAAAUCACAAUGAGCAGGUCCAGGUAGGUAACACAUUACAUAAAAAAACACAGUGGGUUGUUAUUGUUUUAAAUUUAAGGCAGAGUCACAAAUAUAGACGCAAGUUUUUCAAAUUUUUAUCAAUUCAAUUAUGCAUAUGCCCAAAUGACCUAAAUAUGUUUCACAUCACCGUUUAUGCAUUCGUGUUUGAGAUUCUCAUCCAAAAUGCAGGCUUUUCUUCUAUUUUUUACCAGCUACAUUUAGUCACUGUAUUUUACAGUUACUGUUCUCAUUUUGUGGUUCACAUAUUUAUUUUUUUAUACAACAGUAGGGAGUAAAUGUAAUAGGACUACAUUGCAAUGACCCUAUGUGUUUUUAUAGAAACAUAGAAUGUGACGGCAGAUAAGAACCAUUCGGCCCAUCUAGUCUGCCCAAUUUUCUAAAUACUUUCAUUAGUCCCUAGCCUUAUCUUAUAGUUAGGAUAGCCUUAUGCCUAUCCCACGCAUGCUUAAACUCCUUUACUGUGUUAACCUCUACCACUUCAGCUGGAAGGCUAUUCCAUGCAUCCACUACCCUCUCAGUAAAGUAAUACUUCCUGAUAUUAUUUUUAAACCUUUGUCCCUCUAAUUUAAGACUAUGUCCUAUUGUUGUGGUAGUUUUUCUUCUUUUAAAUAUAGUCUCCUCCUUUACUGUGUUGAUUCCCUUUAUGUAUUUAAAUGUUUCUAUCAUAUCCCCCCUACCGCGGCAACACUCCGGCUCUUGUAAGAGUGAACUCUAGCCCUGGAGCCACGGGCUAGAGUUCACUCUCACCACUGUGACCAUUCCUGGUGGUUGCAGUGGUGAGAGUGAACUCUAGCCCCAUACACACACUACCUCCCCACACACACUACCCCCCACACACAUACACUGCCCCCACACACACCAUACAUAUUCACACACUGCCACAUGCACACACACACCAUACACAUUUACACAUUGCCCCACAUACACACACACACAGCCCCCCCAACACAGAUAGCUACCCAUACACACAUUGCCACACACAAAUACACAGCCCCCCCAUACACACAUUGCUCCACACACCCUGCACACAACCUUUCACACAAACUGCACCUCUCACACAUUGCACCACUGCUCCUAUACCCUACUACAGCCCCAUAUCCCAGCAGACCCCAGGUAAGUUGUCAAACUGUUCCUAAAUGGUUUGACUACUUACUCUGGGAGGGGGUCCCGGCACUCCUGGCACCAUAAUCACUACACAGAGCAGUAGUGGUUAUUGUACAUGGAUUAUUUCUUUAAAUAAUCUAUAAGUGCUCCUCCCGCGAUCAGGCUCUGGAUCUGCCACUGGUAUAUAGGGGUGUAUAUAUCUCUACAUCAUGUAUAUUAAUGUGUGUAUUAAGCAUAUGUCUAUGAGUUGCUAGCCUGGGUAACCCCAGUUGCUAGCCUGGGUAACCUUUAGUGACCCGAGGUCUGACCCAAUUCCCUCCUUAACGGAGGAGGAAGAAAGAAGUCCAUACAUGAAGCCAUGCCAGGGUUCAGACUCUUAUCCCUGAAGACGUAGCAACAACAUCUCUAUGAGUCGCUUGCCUGGGUAACCUGUUUAGUGACUGGGGGUCUGACCUAACUCUCUCCCUCAGGGGAUGAAUGCAGUCCACGGUAUACCUGAGGCCCAGCUAGGGUUCAGCCUCUUAUCCCGGAAGACCAAUCUCUAUGAGAGAUACCAAGCCUGGGUACCCCCUUUCGUGACCCAGGGUCAGAUCCAGUCGCUCCCUCAGGAGAUGAAAGCAGUCCAUUGCAUACAUGCUGGGGUUCAGCCUCUUAUCCCUGAAGACCCAUCUCUCUGAGCUGCCAGCCUGGGUACCCCCUUUAGCAGGGCCAGACUGGCCCACCGGGGUACCGGGAAAUUUCCCGGUGGGCCGUCGGCACCUGGGGCCGGGCAGACACCUGGGUCUGCUGGCGGCCGCUGGGGGAGGUCUGCUGGCGGCCGCUGGGGGAGUUGCGAUGUCUCUGCUCCCCAGCGAGCAGCUAAUGAGACCGGGGCCGGAAUAUGACGACUAAAUAUAGUCUCCUCCUUUACUGUGUUGAUUCCCUUUAUAUAUUUAAAUGUUUCUAUCAUAUCCCCCCUGUCCCGUCUUUCCUCCAAGCUGUACAUGUUAAGAUCCUUUAACCUUUCCUGGUAAGUUUUAUCCCGCAAUCCAUGAACCAGUUUAGUAGCCCUUCUCUGAACCCUCUCUAAGGUAUCAACAUCCUUCUGAAGAUACGGUCUCCAAUACUGUGUACAAUACUCCAAGUGAGGUCUCACCAGUGUUCUGUACAAUGGCAUGAGCACUUCCCUCUUUCUACUGCUAAUGCCUCUCCCUAUACAACCAAACAUUCUGCUAGCAUUUCCUGCUGCUCUAUUACAUUGUCUGCCUACCUUUAAGUCAUCAGAAAUAUUCACCCCUAAAUCCCUUUCCUCAUAUGUUGAGGUUAGAACUCUAUCAAAUAUUCUGUACUCUGCCCUUGGGUUUUUACGUCCAAGAUGCAUUAUCUUGCACUUAUCCACAUUAAAUGUCAGUUGCCACAAUUCUGACCAUUUUUCUAGUUUACCUAAAUCAUUUGGCAUUUGGCUUAUCCCUCCUGGAACAUCAACCCUGUUACAUAUCUUAGUAUCAUCAGCAAUACCUUACCAUCAAGACCUUCUGCAAUAUCACUAAUGAAAAUAUUAAAGAGAAUGGGUCCAAGUACAGAUCCCUUAGGUACCCCACUGGUGACAAGUCCAAGCUUUGAAUAUAUUCCAUUAACUACAACCGUCUGUUGCCUGUCACUCAGCCACUUCCUUACCCAUUCAACAAUAUUGGAAUCCAAACUUAAAGAUUGCAGUUUAUUGAUAAGUCUUCUAUGUGCAACAGUGUCAAAAGCCUUACUGAAAUCUAGGUAAGCAAUGUCUACUGCACCACCCUGAUCUAUAAUUUUAGUUACCCAAUCAAAAAAAUCAAUAAGAUUAGUUUGGCAUGAUCUCCCUGAAGUAAACCCAUGUUGUCUCUGAUCUUGAAAUCCAUGUGUUUUUAGAUGUUCAACAAUCCUAUCCUUUAACAUGGUUUCCAUCACUUUCCCCACUACUGAAGUAAGGCUUACUGGCCUAUAGUUGCCCGACUCCUCCCUAUUACCUUUCUUGUAAAUGGGCACAACAUUCGCUAACUUCCAAUCUUCUGGGACUACUCCUGUUAACAAUGAUUGGUUAAAUAAAUCUGUUAAUUGUUUUGCUAGUACACCACUAAGCUCUUUCAAUAGCUUUGGGUGUAUUCCAUCAGGUCCCAUUGACUUAUUUGUCUUUACUUUUGACAGUUGAAAUAGAACCUCUUCCUCUGUAAACUCAUGUGUAAUAAAUGACUCAUUUAUCCUUUUUCUCAACUGAGGUCCUUUUCCUUCAUUUUCAUCUGUAAAUACAGAACAAAAAUAUUAAUUGAGGCAGUCAGUUAGACCUUUAUCCUCUUCUACAUAUCUUCCUUCUUUUGUUUUUAAUCUAACUAAUCCUUGUUUUACUUUUCUUUUCUCAUUUAUGUAUCUAAAAAAUGUUUUAUCCCCCUUUUUUACUGACUGUGCUAUUUUCUCUUCUGUGUGUGAUUUGGAAGCUCUUAUAACUUGCUUAGCCUCUUUCUGCCUUAUCUUAUAGAUCAUUUUGUCUUCCUCACUCUGGGUUUUUUUAUAAUUCCUAAAUGCUAACUUUUUGUUUUUAACUAUUUUGGCCACAUCUGCGGAGUUCUACAGUGGUUUCUUGAUUUUUUUUGCUUUUACUGACAAGCCUAAUGCAAUUUUCUGUUGCCUUCAAUAGUGCAACUUUUAAAUAAUCCCAUUUCUCUUGGACUCCAUUUAAAUUGCUCCAGUCUGAUAAUGACUCCUCUACACAUAUUCUAAUUUUAGAAAAGUCUGUUUUUCUAAAGUCUAAAACUUUUGUUUUCGUGUGGUGUGACUCAGUUACUGUUGUUAUAUUAAACCACACUGACUGAUGAUCACUGGCUCCUAAACUUUCGACUACAGUAAUAUCUGAAACCAAAUCUCCAUUUGUUAACACUAAAUCUAGUAUGGCCUCUUUACGAGUUGGCUCCUCAACAACUUGAUUUAGAGACAAUCCCAGUAGGGUGUUUAGAAUAUGUGUGCUCCUGGCACAAGUAGCUAAUUUUGUUUUCCAAUUUACAUCAGGAAGAUUAAAGUCACCCAUAAUGAUAACUUCCCCCUUCGUUGUCAUUUUAGCUAUUUCCUCGACUAGUAGAUUAUCUAACUCUUCAAUUUGUCCUGGGGGCCUAUAAAUCACACCUACACGAGUUACUGUGUGAUUACCAAAUUCUAACGUAACCCAAACGGACUCUAUGUUUGUCUCACUAACUUUUAUUAGGCUAGAUUUUAUGCUAUCCUUCACAUACAGGGCCACCCCUCCCCUUUCUUGCCUUCCCUAUCUUUUCUAUAUAAAGAGUACCCUGGUAUUGCUAUGUCCCAGUCAUUUUUCUCAUUAUACCAUGUCUCAGUAACAGUGACUAAAUCUACACUAUCAGUUUUAUUAACCAAUGGGCAAGAAGAAAGUACAUUGUUUAGUAAAGCAAUGUAUUUCUCUUCCCAAGUGACACCUAGACAGAUAAAAUAUAACAACAGGUUCACACUCCCUAUUUUAGCAGAACUGUCAUCCUUUAGGGACUUUGCAUCAUUUAUAAAGACCUUUGACGGUGACAUUGUCUCUGGGGUCCGGUGGCAUGGGAAGAGAGGGUUGCAAGCAUAGCAGAGAUUUACUUACCUGAACCUUUCCCUCCUGGGCUCCUCCAUCCUCUUCCGACUGAUUCUCGUCUGCUCCUCGCGCUUCUCGCACGCGCAAGAGUACAGUAUUGAGGUCUUUGGAUAGAUAUAACCAAUUUCCCUGCAGCCACUGGUGAAGGCUGGGGUAUUGACUUGUCUUGACGGUGGUAGCUCCGCCCAGUGUCAAGAAGUGUCAGGUGUAGGAAAUAUACUGAGAAAAAAAAGUCCCUACUAUGUCUUAGUAAAUCUCUCCAUUGUGUUUGAUUUUCAGUGCAAUUCCAACACAAUCAAUAUGAGUAUUUUAUAAAGAUUUUAUUUCUUUGACAGGUGACAGCGCCGCUUAAAAAUAGGACUGUUUUUUCUAUGUUAUUUUCUAUAAACAUGUUUUCAUGUGGUGUGGAUUUCUGAGGUAAACAAGUACUAAACAAGGAUAUUGAAAAAAAAAAAGUAAUUUUUUCCAACACCAUAUAUCAUCAUUUUUCAUUUAUUAUAGCCCACAAUAGAGACUUCACAUGAAACACAUCAGCAAAAACUAAACAGAAAUGAAAAUACAAGUGGAUUUUCUUGACAGAUUGUGG